UACGAAGGGGGCUAGCGUUGCUCGGAAUGACUGGGCGUAAAGGGCGCGUAGGCGGUUUGGACAGUCAGAUGUGAAAUUCCUGGGCUCAACCUGGGGGCCGCAUUUGAUACGUUCGGACUAGAGUGGGGAAGAGGGUCGUGGAAUUCCCAGUGUAGAGGUGAAAUUCGUAGAUAUUGGGAAGAACACCGGUGGCGAAGGCGGCGACCUGGUCCUUGACUGACGCUGAGGCGCGAAAGCGUGGGGAGCAGACAGG
Molecule: ribosomal RNA, 253 nt
Filed under: uncultured bacterium
Lineage: Bacteria
Description: partial 16S ribosomal RNA
Rfam family: Bacterial small subunit ribosomal RNA
Source: RNAcentral